UACAGAGGUCCCAAGCGUUGUUCGGAUUCACUGGGCGUAAAGGGUGCGCAGGUGGGUUUGCAAGUUUGAUGUGAAAGCCCCGGGCUUAACCCGGGAAUGGCAUUGAAUACUGCAGAUCUGGAGGAUUGGAGGGGGGACUGGAAUUCUUGGUGUAGCAGUGAAAUGCGUAGAUAUCAAGAGGAACACCAGUGGCGAAGGCGAGUCCCUGGACAAUACCUGACACUGAGGCACGAAAGCCAAGGGAGCAAACAGG
Molecule: ribosomal RNA, 253 nt
Filed under: uncultured bacterium
Lineage: Bacteria
Description: partial 16S ribosomal RNA
Rfam family: Bacterial small subunit ribosomal RNA
Source: RNAcentral